GAUCACAAAUGUUUUCUAUCCCUUAGAACAAGAUUCCUUGUAAAAAUAGGAAAUUCAGUUUGUAGAAUGAAAAUCGAUACGUAAUCAUUUGAAUUAUGUUUUUGUAUUCGUUAAAAGUACAGGGUGCAAUUUUGUUAACACAUUAUGUGUUGUAUUAUGGAUAGGAUUGGAAGGUAAGGUUGUUUUAUUGAUGGUUUUGAGUCCUCCUUUGAUCGUAUAGAGGAAGAAAAAUGUUUGGCCGUCAAGAUAUAAUCUUUCUCAAAUGUGGUAAAAUCUUUAUAGUUAAAAAACAUUAAAACUAUAUUUGAUUGGUUGUAAUAGACUAUGCAUUUCACACUUGUUUAGGCUUAAUUCUCAAAUCUACAACCAAACAAAAGGUUAGGUUUAAUGGGCUGUUUAAGUUCCCAUUACAAUUCAGGGAUUGAAUACAAUUUAGCAACCCUACAUCUGAAUUGUUGUUUGGUGUAGAGAAAAAAAAAAUCCUCCAGAUACCUAUUCACAUUCAUCUUCCUCACCUAAUCAAGCCAUAAACCACCUAGCUCAUUCAAUUUCAGUGAACCAAGAAAUCUCUUCAUUGAAAGGCAACGCUACAAUGAUGUUAUUCGUUUCAGUAUAACACUCCGUCACAAGGUAUGUCUCAAUCUCUCUGUGCUUAGAUUAUACUCCAUUUGAUUUGAUAUUUCCUUAAAUAUAUAAUUUCUUUUUUGUCUUUUCACUCUAACCCCCAUCUUAAUUCAUUUGAUUUUUGAUGUUAAUGAUUUAUUAUGAUUUCUGAUUCUUUUAAGCUCUUGGUAGCAAAUCUCUCCUCUUACUCUCCAUCAAAGUAGGCUUUGCUCAAUUUCUUAUUUCUGUAAAAAUUGGUCUGCCCACUUAUCUAUAUAAUUAAAUGCAGAAUUAUUAAUCAUUCGUGGCUUUUUCUUAUAUCUAUUCUCUUAAACUAUAGGAAUACGAUUACAUUAUUAAUUCUAUCAUGAUACUCGAUUCUAUUUUAUUUAUUAGUCUAUUAUGAUACUCAUUCACUAUUCUAUUCCGACAAUAAAAAAAAAAAAGAACUCUAUUCCAUUAUAAUUCAUGAUCACCGUAUCAAUGGUUGUGAUUCUCAAUCCAAUUUCAACUAAAUAAUGAUUAAUUCAACCAAGCUCAACCGAUUUUCCAUUCCAGUUCAAAAAAUUCACGAUCUAAUCAAUCUAGUUCCAACUAUGACCUAGUAACAAACUUAUGUUUGUUUCAAUUCUUUAACACCAAAUUCAAUACUAAGAUUUAAGUUGAUGAACAAUUGCCAUAUGUAAACUUUGCCCAAUUAUAUUUCAAUUCUUAGUGUUAGUUUAAUGUUAAUUAAAUUCUAUUCUAUAGGUCAUAUAUUCAUAUAACCGUACGUUUUACUGGUAAACUCCUAAAAAACUCCUUAACAAUCCUUUCCCAUCCCCUUCUUUACAAAUACCCAAAAAUGAUUCUUUUAAAAAAAUUGAUUAAAUUAUGAAAUCAAAUUAACCAACCUAAUCGAUUGAAUCAAUUUUAAACCAAAAAAAAAAAACGAAGCUCUGAUUGAUUGGAUCUUCCACCUGCCUUUCUUUUAACCAUGACAGAGAACAUUUAAAUUACUGAAAAUCAUGACAUUGAUUUUUUUUUUUAAUUUUAGCUUAUUCUAAUACAAAGCAUACAAAGAUAAAAUUAAACAGUGAUAACGUUCAUCCAUAAUUGCACGACCAACACUGACCUCAAACAAAUCCCCCACUCUAGUAAUGAAAAACACGUCAUGGUGUUUUUCUAGUACGACAGAUAAGGGUGAAAGUACAAUCAUCUCCUUGGUUUAUUAUUAUGACAAGCUAUCAUCAAUUCCUUAAAAUGUUCAAUGUUUUUCAUCAGAUUGAAAUUGGGUCUCAUAAAAUUUACUAACCUUAGAACAGGGGCAAACUUGGUGGGAACCGCACAUGCAUCCAUUGUCUUUCAUACGUUGAUAAAUGAUUCCAUCCAAUCUCAUCCAGCAAUGACAGCUUCAUUUCGUAGAAUUUCUUCUUUGGUGGCUCUCCAUCAUCCUGAAUCAUGUCAUUUAGUACCUGCGACAAUAGCAGAUACUUGAGCUCAAGUUCCAGUACAGGGGAAACUAACCACAUUUGAAGUCAACUAAUGGGUUGUAUCGGAAAAUAACUUGUGAACAGCCUAAGGCAGUAACUAGCAUAAGCCUAAAAACAUAUCAAGGGAUAGAGAAUCAUUCCACAUAGUAUUCAAACAUUUUUUUUCCAGGCUGACAAGUGAUAUAAAGCAUUGACAAUCCAAGUUUCUUACAGUCCUCGUUCUUUCACUUCCAAUUCUUUAUUCCUAUUAUGAAAUUAGUGGUUUGUAUUGAAAGAGGGAAGAGACUUGAAUUGAAAUAAUAAUAAAUGCAUCAAUAUUCUUAAGGGGAUCCAUUUACACCUGUGUAAAACUAAAGUAGUUCUAUAUCAUUUAAUAUCUUUUUGAAUGAUUAAUAUUUUAACAACCCAACUGUUGAAUUUAUCGAUAUAAUUAUACUUAUCAUACAUGCAAUUUUUCGAACCGAUUCAAUAUGAUAGAUCUAAAAUAUUGUAUAUAUUAAUAUUUAUUGAAUAGUUGAAAGUUUUUUAAAUAAAAUAAAUAAUUGAAAAUUUAAUAUGCAUGAUCUAUAUAAACAAAAUAUGAAAAUGACAAAACCAUUAAAAUAUUAAUCGAACAAAAAGACAAAAAAGGGUGUAAGAUCACUCUAGUUUUAUACCGGUUUAUGUAGAUAGUUUCCUAUAUUAUUAUUGUCAUAGUUUCAAAUGCAUUUUAAACAAAAUACCAUUCAACUCAUCAAUUGAAAUUUUCAUCAGGUAACUUCUUUUUAGUGCUUACUAGGAUUGUAAGAAGAGAAAAUACCUUCAGUGCAGUUCCAAGCCUCCCAAAUCGCCUCUCCCGCAGUACAUAGAGGGUGCCAUAUUUAGAGGACUUCACAUCUACCCAUUUUGUCAGUUCUUUAAAGUUUUCCUCAAAUAAGUCUGACCGGAGAUCAGAACUGACAGCUUCACUUGCAGCCAAGGCUGAAGGUUUCUCACCCUAUAAUGGUGAUGAAGAAAAUGAUUAAUUCCAAUGAAGAUGAUAAACCACCAUAAACAUGCUGAUAUAAACAAUCUCAGCACCAUAAAACCAAUUAGAAAUAGGUGGAGAUGCCCGAUAUAACACCACAGAAAACCCAAUAUUUAACAUAUGUAGGAUAAAAUCACUUAACACUUCCCUCACGUGUAGCUCACACAUCCUACAAGUGGACAAUCUCACUAGAAGUCGUCAACAUCAAUGGGGUAGACAUGCUGAAAAACGUAACAGAACCUGGGCUAAAACUAGUAAUGAGACGUAUCAAAUUCACCAACGAACUAGCAAGAAAAAUGUAAUGCAGAAUGGAGAUUAGUUCAAGACAUUAAAUUCCCUCAGCUCUACCAAAAUAAUAGGUUUUGCAUAACGGCCAUGGGUUUUAUUUUUGUGCCAUUGCUUCAUAUCUUCGUCUCAGUAAUGGACUUAUAAAGUUCACUUUUCUUUGUGAAUAUGUAUGUCAAUGUUUCUUUCCACUUUGAAGAAAAGAUUAGAAAAUAACCAAUAUCAGUUAGAUAAUAAGCUUAUUUAAAUUGGAAAAUAACCAGGUGAUACAUAUACCAAACAAUACCUUUAUAGAUUCAAUCUCAGCCAGUGCAAGUCCUUUUUGGUACAGUGCUUCUGCUAAUUGAUCACGAGUUGUCUCCAUCUUCUUCUUAUUUUUCUGAAGAAAUUAAAAAGGGAAGGGGGGUUCUCAUACAUUUUGUGUAUAAACCGCAAACACUAAACCCCUAAUGAUGCACUAAAGCAUAAAUGAAAUUGCAGCACAGGAAACACCUUGGAGACAAUCAUAACCAUUGAAAAAUAAAAGUCAAGAACAAAAAAUACGUUUAGCAACUUCCAUUCUGAUAAUAUACUUGGCUGAAUUUACUAAGAGGAUGUUCAGCAUAGUAUGAGCAAAAUGAUGGAAAGGGUAGAGGGAAGAGCAAAUUGACAAUUUAAAACCGAACCUCUGAAUCCUCAUCCUCAGGAUCAGCUUUAAGUGAAAAGAGUUUUGCCAGUUCAUCUGCAUCGAUACUAUCAAUCACCUCAUCUGCCGCACUUAUAAUCUGAAAAGUUCAACUAUAUUAGUUAAGGAAAGCAUUUAUUUCAGAUUUUCCAUUUCAGUUUUGAGUACUGUAAAAGAUAAACUGACAACCUUAAUAUCAGUCUCUUAGCUACUUCUCAUGUUUGGUAUUUUUAUAUAUUCUGGCCAGUAUUUUUUGCUAAAUACAUAAACUUCAAGCAUCUCCAGUAGAUGCAGGUUAUGAACUUUCAACAAGUCCCCCGCUAGAACCAAGAGAGGGUUCAAAUUUUAGGCCUUCAUGGGGCUCACUUAAAUAUCGUUAUGCUUAAAAAUAAAUAAAAAAAAGAAUAUGAAAGCUAGCAACCUAUAAGGAUACUUUCCACUUGAUACCAAAAAAUGAAAAAAAAACAACUUUUAGGCAUGCAUAUAUGUCAUCUUUACGAGUUAAAUAAGUAACAUCCACUCUGAAGUGAGUCAUUGAUUUACCACAUUAUAUCUCUGAAGGUAGUUCAGAUUAGCAACAUUGAGCAACUGAGAAGAGUUACAUGGCAGCAAAGCACAAAACAAAAUGAAGGGAAAAACCUCAACAAGACACUUUACAAAGCAAACUCAAGAGAGCCAUCAGCAUUUUCAUACCAAAAUAUGCUUUCAAUACGACUCACCUUUUCAUAAUAGUGGAUUUUGUCCCCAAUAUUGCUUCGUGAAAGCAAACUUUCCAAGAUCUUUACAAGCAAUGGAGUGUACUUAGGGUACUCAGACUGCCAAAGAACACAUGUUACAUAUUAAAAUAGGUACAGCACACUAUUGACUGCCUAAGACAAGCAGCUCCAAAAACAUCCACUUCCAGAUUUAGACAUGUUUUCAUCUAGUUUCAGGAAUUAUAUGGCAACUAAAACACAAUUGACUGCAACAAGCUACAAUAGCACACUUCUCCCACUAAAAAAUUAACCGGACUGAAAAUGGAGGCCGCUAAACCUUCUCUGCCAUUUGACAGCCAUUUAGACAGUUAUAAGACAAUAAUCAGCUUGUACUUAAAGAACUAAUAAACUUAGGUGCUGCAAAUUAUUUUUCAGGUAUAACUUGUACGUAAAUUUUACAUACCACUUAUUCCUAGCUAUAAUAUUGCUACAAGCUCACCGCUAUUUGAAAAGAAAAAAACAGAACACUCAACCUGAUAUAUACUAGACUUGCAAUGUAGCAUUCACUAACCAAGAGACCCUUUGACAGAAAGUGGAGAAAGUAACGCUUAGGGAGAGAGGAUGACUCCUCAUAAAGAAAUAUAUCCUUCUUCAACUCUUCGCAUAGAGUACACCUAAACUAAAGAAAGGACGACAGAGAGUUCUAACCUUGAGAGAUUGAGCUAAUUUUUUCCAUUCUGAGCGAUCUUCAUCACUAUCUUGCUUCAGGCUUCCAAAAACCUUUAUUUUUGCCUCUCGAACCUGAUUGAGGAAUUGAACAAGCAUUACUCCAUAUGUUAACACCAGAGAAAACAAAUGUUUUAAAAAGCUAGUUGAUCUUGAUGAAAUUUGUUCCGGUUAUCUUAAUCGAUACCAUACAAUAGUAAAAAUUUUUCAAAAUAAAUGAACUAUUCAAAGCAAAAAACACCAAAGUGAUUAUAUGAAUAUAUGGGCAAAAAAAAUCAUUAAGUUAAUAUAAGAGAUUAUUAUAGUUUGACAACAUUUAAAAAGUAUGAGAAAAAAACUUUGCAACUAUUUGAUUACCAAAUAUCGAGGUUAGCAUAAACAUUUGUGCAAGUACCUCUUCUUGUAAACGUUCGGCCAUAGGUUUAGUGCUAGCUGAAGAAGAACCUUUGCCUUUGUCUUCAUCAAUCUGUCAAUGAAAUGCCAUGAGUCAUGGCAGAAGAAAGAAGAAUGCAAAACAUGGAAGUAAAGCUCCAGAGUGCAUCACUUAACCAUAGAAGCAUUAUUAGGCCUUCCCAUAAGUACCAUACAAGGUGUAAUAGAAAUAUGUAAAUAUUACAUGGGUAAAGGCAAAAGUAUCACAACCUUGCUGGGUGGCACCACAUAAGAUAUCUGAUAUGAUACAGGAUUCUUCUGUGGAUUUUUUCCCUCUCCAGCAUAUGAUAGGUUCCCGUGUGAUAUUGCUCCCAGCAAUACAGAUCCUUGUGAGGAACACUGCAGGAACAAUUCAAUUGUUACAUCUUCUAUGCUGUUUACUUAAGUAAAAGAGACAUCAAAAAAUGUACUACCUUUGGAAGCUUAUCUUUGUUUGGUGGACUUAAAUAAAAUGAUUCCUUUAUCCUGAAAAAUAAUGCUUCAAGUUAAUUAGAGAGUAAAAAUAAGAAAACAAAUUGGACAGGAUUGCUGAGAAUAGCCUAGAUGAAUUACAUAUAUUCGAAAUCAGACAUACCCUGGAACCAAAAUAGAAUAUUUAAAGGUACCAUUCCCCAUCACGGGGCCAUCUGGUUCAGAGAAAAAGUUCAAUGGAAAAAUGUCCUGAUUUCAAAAUAACCACAGGGAUAGUAAUGAGCAUACCUCAUAAACCUUUCCAAACAACCAUGGAAGAUGAAAAUAGCUAAAGAAAUCAAUACUAAUUUAAAGCAAUUUGACAAUACAUCUACUAUUAUGCCAAUAGAAAAAAUACAAGACCUAAGAGGCAAUGGUUAAACCAUUUUCUGCAUGCAUGCCUUAUAAUUUAGAAGCAGUGCUUUUAAUAUAGAGCCAUUUCUAACGUGAAUAAAGAAAACAAACAAACAAAGACACGAUAUUACCUUUUCCUCCAAAUUCCUUUCCAGAAACAGAACUAAUUGCUUCAUUUUUUCUAAGUACUGGACAUUGUCAUGCCUGAAACAUGAUAAGUCAAUGUAAGUGAAAGCAAGCUUGGAUUGAAGCAUCUCAUUAGAAGAGAUUGAUAGGAUGAGAAUUCCUGUUUGCAGCUAUCCUACUACAAAACCAAUUUCCUAAACCUUCAAAAACAAGAAAGAAAAUGGAAUAUAAGAACAGACAAUCUCAAAGUUACAAGAUAAUCGUGAUAUUCAGGAAUUCCUUUAAUUAGCUAAAACCAGAACAGAGGGCCUAUAAAGGAGUUGUUUGGGGGCUAGGGAGGAGAAAAGCCACACCAGUAUCCAAAAGAAACUAAUUUCAUUUGAUAAUUUUUAGCCACACACAUGACUUGGUUUCAGCAAGUGGAAGGAAAUUUUUUUAUUUAUUUUCAAGAGGUCUUUUUUGUACUAGAGUUUUACUCAUCCUUCUAAUAUUGAGUUCGAAUUAGUACUAAUUAUUUUAACACUUAUGUAUGGUUAAGCUUGCUUUUCCUUGAUUUAAUAUACUAAAUAACCAAACGAGGCAUGAAUGUCUAGUAUAAAGCACAUCUAUAAGUACCUUAAGUACAGUCGCAGUGAGUAUUCACCCUUUGGAAGUUGUGAAGAGGCUGGAUAACAAUCACCCAUUGCAUAUACACGCUAUAAUUGAUGAGAGCAAAAGGAUUUUAACAGGUCAGCAAAAUUGUGGCACAAGAAGGAAGUAGGAGCAAAUUAGAAACCCAUUAUGGUAGAACAGAAUAAAGCACUGGAGAUGUAAAAUGUGGAUUCUACAUGAUUUGGAAUAAAGCAUAUUUGUCCAGAUUUGUUGCUACUGAUUCUUUUCAAAAUGAUUGACAGUACAAAUAAAAAUGUACCUUGUUUGUGUCAGAAAUCAUGUAAAAUUGGGACUCAAAUUUUGUGUCAUAUAUACGAUUAUUGAGCAAUGGAAUAUGCGGUUUCACUUCUGCUCCAUCUUCCAAUUUAAAGUGGUAACUGUAGAAGCAAAAAAAGUAAAGCGCACAAACAGUAAUUGAAGUGAUUGAUUACAUAUGCACAUAUAAAGGACAUUCUUCCAUAAGCAACUGAAAAAAUACACACGUUAGUGUCAAUGCCAGUAUCUGUUUCCCUGAUGGUAAUUUGUCACGAUUAGUUGGAAGAGUACAAAGUUUUGCCUCAGUAGGUCGAUAUGGAACUCUUAUCUGCAUAUUGAACAUAUAAAAAAAACAGAAAAUUAAAAAAGAGCGUCUUAUUAAAUCCAAGCAAGAACAUCAAAAGGAAAGCAAAAAGCCCAAAGGAAGAGAAAGCCUAAAUGGCCUACAUGGCACUGUACAGGAUAGACUUCAUUACCUUGUUUAAAGUAGCAGUAGGGGCAAGUCUUUCAGAGGCCAAUAGUGCUUCAGCCUCAAUUCUGAUGGGUGCUUCACUUCCAUCAAGGACUACUUCAGUUCUGUUGACUCCAAUUCCAUGAAAGACGAUCUAAACCAUUCAUAAAAAAGAACCCAAACAUAAGACUCUCAAAUGCAAGAUAAUUUAAAACAGUAUUCCCAUGUUCGCUUCAUUGAGAUACCACAACUUACAGAGCAUGCAACAGUAAAUAAGUAAAAGAUACUUGGUAAGGUUCUCACAAGCCAAAACUAAAACAAAACUUAUGCAGGAUAAAGCAUCGUUGACAUAGGCAUGGCCCCAGGUUGGGGAAACACAUCUAGAGAAGAAAGCAGAAAAUCAAGAAAAUUGAAAAAGAAAAGUAGACCAUCCAAGUGCAACUUCAACAAAAUGGUCUAGGGUGGCAAAUAUUCACUAACUGAGCAAUUAUAGAAGCAGUAGUGAUAGUAGGAGAUAAAAUAAAAAUAAAAUGAACCGAUCAAAUAAUCAGUAGAAAAGUUAUUAGCAGAAGAAAGUUUCUAGAUUUUUUGACAGAAAAUUACCUCAAAAUCUACAAUUGUCGUCUCGUGACUUCCCAUGCCACUUGACCAAAACUGAGCUAUUGCUAAUUCCAUUGUUUGACCACCUACAACAGGAAAGUCAAAGCUUUUGGCAGUAGGAGAAGAAAAUGUUACAACACUCUCCCACUUGAUAGGCCUUCUCAAUGGACAGAGCUGCACAUUUUAAAACAAGUCAAGACUUAGGUCAAUCUGGUAUGGGUUCAAAGUGCAUGCUAUACCUGAACGGUGUCAACAAAAAAUCGUCUACUAGUAUCAAACCCAGAUGUCCUCAUGGUAGCCUCAACCCAACUAGCACCAAGCGGUACUUCUAUAUACCUUCGUUCUAUGUGGCCUAGACAACCACAAAGGAGAAAAAGGGAAUCAACUCAUGGAACAAUCAUAGCAUGAAAGAAUUUUUAAUGUAUAAAGGGUACAGAAAAUAUAAGUUGGGACGAAUUCUAUGACAAAAUAACCUGGAAGGAAUGACAUCUUUGAGAAUGAAACCAGUGGUGGCCGAUUCAAUACAGCCUUGGGCUUUGUUAUAGUAAUUGGAAUUCUGAACAAAGGACCACGCCAUGGGGCUUUGCAAUCAAUUCCAUAUACUUCAUAAUAGUGCAGCCCAUCAGCCAGAUUGGAGGGAUCAACAACUACACUGAAAAGAAACGAAAAUAAUGCACCAUUAUCAAACAAGCAAUCUUCCAAGAUCACAAAUCUAAGCAUCCAACCCAAAACCAAUUGGUAAGAGAUGGAGGGCCCAAUAAAACCACUAGAAACCCGAUGCAUAACAGAUAUGAGAUAACACUACUUAAUACUCCUCUUUUGUGUAGCUGUUAGGACCUACACAUGGACAACUUUACUGGAAGAACAACAUAACAAAACCCAGACUCAAACAUCUUAAUCAUCCAAUCAUAAACCCAUUAGCAAGAGGUGGAGAGGCCCAACCGUAACAUACAACCAUAUAAAACCCAAUACUUAACAAAGUGGGAUAACAUUACUUAACACAUCAAAUAUGGAAAUUACAGAAAUUUUGAUUCAUCUACCUUACAACUCAAAAGAGGAUGGCAAAAUAAAUAAAUUGUAGUAAAAUGAAGUUCACAAAAAUGAAUAAAAAAAUUGGAGUUGAUAGACAAACUGCACACAAUUUAUUAGAAAUAAGAACUUUCAUAUGGGUAGUGAAGUAUGUUUACUAACUUGAAGGUGCGCCCAUUAUGAGUGAGGAGAAGAUACUCAGGUGCUCUCACAACUGCAUUAUUACUAGAGCGCAGCUCAAUACACUCCUCAAAGGGAACCAAUUGUUCUAAUUUACUUGCAUCAUCAUGAAACCUUGGUUCAACAUGCACUGCCCACUAUUUAAGAUGUAAGUUUAGCAGCUUUAAAAAUCAAGGAUAAGCAGAAAACAUGAAGUUGUAAGCAGGUGGGGAUUGAAUAUCAGAAACUAAAAUAAUCAUUUUUUUUUCCUUUUGAAAAUGAACACUUAAUGAAGGGAACACCACAUAAUUAUUUAGUAAUAAAUGAAAAGCAAAGAGCAAAAAAGUAGCCAUGGACAAAAAAGUUAUAAAGUAUAUAAAUCAGCACACCUCAGUAGACUGUUGGCAAGCAGUAGCCUCUCUUAGGUAGAUGCCUCGUGAUAUAGGAGCUGCAAGUGAAAUACACAGUAAAAUGGAUUGUAAAUGCAUGAAUGAGAUGGACCAAAGGACAAGCAGUUCCUAAUGGAAUAGGUAACAAAGCAACUUUCCCACCUACUGCCACUAAAUCACCACUUCCCCAUGUCAAACUAGCGCAAAAGAUAGUUAAGUUCCAUAGCUAAAUCCAGAAUCCAUUGAGAGAACUCAAGCUUCUAAACGUUCUCAUUUGCGAAAUGGAUGCUCAUAACAAACAGGAUAUUAAAUAAAAAUCAGAAAAAAGCUGACUCCCAAUAUCAAAGCAAGUCCUUAAGAAGUUAGAUAAAACAUAAAAAGUUUAUCAUUAUUGCUCUUGGCACUAGGUAGAGUUUAUCAAUUUAAAACAAAAAACUCUUCUAUUAAUGAUUUGAGGCUUGCCUCUGAUAUUUAAUGAACAUCCACAAAUUUUUGGAUCGUAAGUAUAAUAGUACUGAACACAUUGAACACUGGAUAGCAUUUUUCAGCACAUCAACCUAAACUUACUUGAUUUUCCAGAUUGAUUAACCUUUAUUUGAUAACAAACACAUGAAAGAUCUUGAGACUUCUGUAUAUAUUCAUAUGCUCUGCCAAACAUAAGAAUCAAAGAAGUUCAGAACUAAGAAAUAAUAUAUAAAGAAGCAAAGGCUAUGGCCAAAUUUCCUACUUGUCAACUUGCAUAAGCCCUUGACCAGCGGUUAGCUUAUCUUCGGGCAAACCACCUACAGGAAUGGAUGUAUUCUCAAGAGCUAUCCUUACACUAUAUGGGCUCACAGGAAUUCCCUCAGCCUACAGACAACAUUAGAUAAUUUUCCUUUAGACACCACAACAAGAGGGAAAAAAUGGAGAGGGGAAACAAACAAUCAAAAACUCAAAUAAAGGAACUCAAAUAAUCCAAAGAAAAACCUUCAUAGCACUAAUAAGCAGUGCGAUUCCCCCACAAGCAGAUGGAGACGCCAUUGAUGUUCCAUUCAUGAGCAUGCGCCCUUGGAGAGUCCAAGUAGGAACAGGGGCAACAGCCCCUCCAGGAGCACUUAUACAAACUCCAAGAUCUCCAUCAGCUGUUGGUCCUCGGCUGGACCUGCAUCCAUUGCAACCAAUUUCAACGAGUUAAAGAUGAACAAGGACAAGGAUUGAGAGCUGGAAAAAGUGAGACUAUAUGUUUGAAGGCCAAACAUGGAAGAACUGAAAUUAUCUUACCAAGUGUACUCAAGCCCUUCGGGUGGAGGUUCAACUACAGAAUGAGCACCUGCAGCCAUUGCAGGAGAGACAUAUGCACCAACUCCUAUGAUGCUUGAAGAGGUACCACCUGGAGCACCAACUGUGCUCAAUGCUGGCCCACUAUUACCAGCACUACUCACAAAUAUCAAACGAUAUUUAUUCACGACCUAAAUUAGACCCAAAGAUGACACCCAUAACAUCUUAGAGAGAGAGGAAAAUGAAGGUAAACUACACUAAACAAUUAUGCCUAUAAGGAAAAUUUGGAGUUCUUACUUCAUUAACAAGAUCAACAAAGCGUCCAUAGUCAGGUAAUAAUGUAGGUUCUCCGUAGCUCAUGUUGAUCAGAUCACAUUUAUGCUGUGAAAUAAAAAGGAGGUAAAACAGCCAAAUGGUUACAAUUAAAAUGUACCAGAUUGAAGUCAGUGAUAUGACACAUUGACACAAAGGGACACCCAAGUACCAUUUGCAGUACAGAGACAAUAUGCUAAAAUAGCUAACCACCAACACAAAAUGAAUACAAACAUCAAAAGAAAAUAUGAAUAUAUGUUCUAUGCUCAUAUUAAAGGAAUGAAUAGACUGCAGAUAUGCCAGAUGGUCAAAAAAAAUCAAGAUAAUAAAUGCCUCAAGGGCCAUAACAACACAAAGGUGAAUAAAUCAUCAGAAAAAUGCACUUUUAACCACCUCCACAGCAGCUAUUAGUGCCCGUGUCAAGCCUGUUCCAGUCUCCAUCGAACCUAAGCGUGCAUCUCCAAUUUUACAUGAAAUUAUCUGGGCUCCAGGUGCAACACCAUUUAACAAGGGCUCCUAAACCAUCAUGCAAAUCAGAAGACAUUUUUUAUGAGAACUCUGAAAAGAAAAUGCCAUAAACCAUCAGUUAAGCAUACAGUACCUGUGGGUGGAAAGCAGUAGCAAUACCAGCAACAUGAGUAGCAUGAGGAGAGCAGUCUGUAACAAUACUUAAGAUGUUUCCCUCGUCAUAUACAUUAACAACAAAUGUACAAGCAUCUAAUUCACUAAAUAUGCCAUAUUUCUGUUCAAUCCUGCAAGGAUUAUUUCAGUAGAGUUAGAUAAUAAUUAUAUUAUGUUUGUUUCAGAAAAAACGAAGCACAAAAUCAAAGAGGGGCACUUAAAAUUUUUUAAGACAAGUGGUUAACAAUAUGAAACAAUAUGCAAAUAGAAUGCCACGUGCAACCAGCCAAGCAAAAAUCUAGCAAGGAGCUUCAUUAAUAUUAACAUUCUCCAUCAUUAAAAAACCACUUCAUUGCCUUUGUAUAAAUUUCUGCCAAAGAAAUAGUAGUCAGCCAGGUGAUAAGAUAAAUGACAAAGACACAGACCUGUAAUUAGUUAGGGGCACAAAAUCAGCCAGUUUCCCACAUUUACGAUCAUCAUGAAGACUCUGAGUGUCAAGAGCAACCCUCCAUAAUUCUCCAUCAUGCCAUACGACAGCAUCUAUAACAGGUCCUUUAUCAUCAUAGCUCUAGCACAUUAACGUGAGAAAAGCUCAGAACAAUGUAAAUAUAGUUAAAUAAAAGCAAUUAAUAAAUCCUUGGUACUCACAUCGCCCUGCUUUUUUAAGAGGUCUAUUCUAUUCUGGAGAUCUUCACGAGCCCUUUUCAAUUUUAGAUCCUCCACUUUUGUAUAUUUCUGUAUACAUGGACAUAGAAAUUUUCAAUUUUAGAUCCUCCACUUUUAAUGGUAACAAAUGCAUGCAGCACAAGUAUGAUGAUAGAAAUUUACCCACCAUCUUUAUCAUGGAAGACUUUUCUACUUACCCCUAGAGAACCUUCAUUAUCAUGGAAGAAACCAAACAUAUUUUGAAGCAUAUGAGCGAUUAAUGAACUUGAAUUAUAAGAAGGUUAAAAUAAUCACUUAUCACCAAAAUGAAUGAUACUGAGUACAGAAAGCAUGUAAUCUUUUUGUUGCUAACCAAAGAAAGAGCGAACUCAUCCCUCAAUGCUCAUAUAUUUCAAAUUGAAGUCAAUCUUGCCAAAUUAGUGAAGAUAUAAUUAAGGCAUUAGCUACACAGCACUGUCACAGCACAAGAAAUAAAUAAAUCUGAAGAACUAGUUAUGCAUGCAAAUAUAUAUGGAAUAUAUAUUUGACAAUUUGCAUGCAAUUAUACCAGGUUUAUUCAAACUAAAGAAAAAUCUAUUUGAAAUAUGAAUAUCUAUGUCUAUUAUCAUACAGAAAGAGAUUAGCAAGUGGAAUUUUCAACAACCUGAUCAAAUUCAUCAAGAUGCAAUACAGCCUUUGCAAUCUCCUCCUGGUUCUUUUCAUCCCAUUUUCUCUUUCUUUCUUUCUGCAACAUGAAUAAUGAAGGGAAUAAUAAGAAGACAGUCAUUCAUCAGUUAAUUUAUCAUGGUCAAUAGCAAAAAUUCAAAAAUUCUCAUGAAUUAAACAGAAAAUAGUUCUUACCUUUAUACGUGAAGUCAAAGUGUCAGUAAAGAGCUCAUAAAUCAAUUUAUAGCCCACAUGCCACUCACCAGAAGGGUUUUUCCAAGAAGAAUUGACAACCAAUGAAGCCCCUAUAUAUCAUUUUUUAUCAAAAUACAGAACAUGGGAUCAGAAAAUAGAAAGUCAAGUCAGAAUCAUGAUUAUGCUACAAGGAUAUAUACAAAAAGACAAUAGCACAGAACAUUGCCAAGAAGCUAAAUACUGUCACACAAGUACAAGAGAAUAAUCCACCAUGCUCUGAACAUUUGAAGAUUCACACAUUUUAUUAACAAAGAUAAAGUGAAGGAGAAACUAUCCAAGAAUUACAUGAAAAUAGACCCUAUUGAUCAAUCGGAAGACAAACUACAUGAAUAACCUAUCAUUUAGCAUUUAAUUCAGUAAGUUUUAGCAACCACUCCAAUGCAGAACCAAGUAAACCUCGAGGAACAAGAAAAGGAACUCCCAUCUUUUGCUAUAAUAAUAUAUAUAAUUACAAAUGUGAAUAAUCUUUUGUACUAACAAAAAUACUCUUAUUAUAUUACUAAAUUGACAUUAGAAUAAUAUUUUAUUUUAGCAUAUUACUUAUUAGAAGAUUUACAAAAUUAUAUAUCCCCCAUGUCAAGUCGAAUUACACUUCUUUUCUAUGUUGAAUCGCACUUUCACUAUGAUUUUAAUUAUUCCCUUAGCUCGAUAAGCAACGAACUAUAAUAGUAGAUUAAUUCGCACUUAAUUUGUAUUACAGAUAUUAUAAUAUUUGAAUUAUCAAAAUAAGUAAAUAUAUUUCAAAUAUAUUCAGCAAGUUGAACAAUGAUUGGUUUAUAUGUAAUAAAUUAAAAUUAAAAACGUAAAAUCACUUUAUUCAAAAUUAAUCUACUGCACAUUUCCAUAAUCACAAGUUCAUCAAAUAUGUCAGCAAUAAUACAACCUGAAGCUCCUUGAAUUCGACCAUCUUUAUCAGCCUUCACCACUUUUGAGGUAUCAACAUCUCCACUCCCAGUACUAAAUAAAUAAAUAAAUAAAUAAAUAAAUUCUCAAGUAACUUUAAAAUAUAAUAAGUAAAUAACAAGUUCAAGAAACAGAUAGUACAGCAAGCUGAAAAAAAGAAGUACCAGUCAAUAACAUCUAAGAUCUUUGGCUUCCCAUCUGAUGUCAGUUGCAAGCCAGAAGCAGCAGGGUCAACACCAGAAUCUGAAAACAACAAUUUUAAUCAAAAUUUUUUUUUAAAAAAAGAUCAAGAAUCAAACACUUGCUUUCUUUUCUCUUCAUUUACAGAUUCUUUUUUUUUAUUAACAGUCAAAAGAAGGUACCAAAGAUUGCGAUGACGGCGCCGCGACCGUCGUAAUGAGGAUGAGCUUCAAUG
RNAcentral lists this long non-coding RNA (15421 nucleotides) under Gossypium barbadense (sea-island cotton). RNAcentral's name for it is "long non-coding RNA (GBAR_LNC020445)". The record is from RNAcentral. Lineage: Eukaryota; Viridiplantae; Streptophyta; Magnoliopsida; Malvales; Malvaceae.